This 74-nucleotide transfer RNA is filed under the name Treponema sp. Its description in RNAcentral is "tRNA-Met". It matches the Rfam family "tRNA". Rfam says of the family: Transfer RNA (tRNA) molecules are approximately 80 nucleotides in length. Lineage: Bacteria; Pseudomonadati; Spirochaetota; Spirochaetia; Treponematales; Treponemataceae. The record is from RNAcentral.
CGCAGGGUACUAUCAAUGGCAGAUGGCCAGGCUCAUAACCUGCGCGGCUGGAGGUUCGAAUCCUCUCCCUGCUA